UGAAUACGAGAUGCUACGGCGUCGAAGCAGUGUAUGUCAGACUUCCAAGAAAAGCUCGCAAUGUCAUAAAUAAAGAAUGCCUGUACCAUAACCGACACAGGUGGGUAGGUAGAGUAUACUAAGGGGCGCGAGAUAACUCUCUCUAAGGAACUCGGCAAAAUAACUCCGUAACUUCGGGAGAAGGAGUGCCUUCUUUAAGAAGGUUGCAAUAACAAGAUCCAAGCAACUGUUUAUCAAAAACACAGGUCUCCGCUAAGUCGUAAGACGAUGUAUGGGGGCUGACGCCUGCCCAGUGCCAGAAGGUUAAAGAAGUUGGUUAGCUUUUGCGAAGCUGAUGACUGAAGCCCUGGUGAACGGCGGCCGUAACUAUAACGGUCCUAAGGUAGCGAAAUUCCUUGUCGGGUAAGUUCCGACCCGCACGAAAGGCGUAAUGAUUUGGAUACUGUCUCGGAGAGGGACUCGGUGAAAUAGACUUGUCUGUGAAGAUGCGGACUACCUGCACCAGGACAGAAAGACCCUAUGAAGCUUUACUGUAACUUGAAAUUGAAAUUGGACUUUAUUUGCGCAGUAUAGGUGGAAGGCGUUGAAAGUAAUCUUGCGGGAUUAGUGGAGCCAUCAGUGAGAUACCACUCCUAUAAUGUUAGAUUUCUAACUUUGGAUCAUGAUCUGGUCAAAGAACAGUUUCAGGCGGGCAGUUUGACUGGGGCGGUCGCCUCCCAAAUGGUAACGGAGGCGUACAAAGGUUUCCUCUGAACGGGUAGAAAUCGUAUCUAGAGUGUAAAGGCAUAAGGAAGCUUGACUGUGAGACCUACAAGUCGAGCAGGGACGAAAGUCGGUCUUAGUGAUCUGACGGUGCUGAGUGGAAAGGCCGUCACUCAACGGAUAAAAGUUACUCUAGGAUAACAGGCUGAUCUCCCCCAAGAGUUCACAUCGACGGGGAGGUUUGGCACCUGGAUGUCGGCUCAUCGCAUCCUGGGGCGGUAGUACGUCCCAAGGGUUGGGCUGUUCGCCCAUGAAAGCGGUACGCGAGCUGGGUUCAGAACGUCGUGAGACAGUUCGGUCCAUAUCCGGUGUAGGCGUUAGAAUAUUGAGAGGAGCCUUCUUUAGUACGAGAGGACCGAGAAGGACAUACCUCUGGUGUACCAGUUAUCGUGCCAACGGGUAACGCUGGGUAGCUAUGUAUGGAGAGGAUAACCGCUGAAAGCAUCUAAGUGGGAAGCCCACCUCAAGAUGAG
Molecule: ribosomal RNA, 1235 nt
Filed under: metagenome
Description: bacterial LSU rRNA
Rfam family: Bacterial large subunit ribosomal RNA
Source: RNAcentral